GAACAUAAGAGUUUGAUCCUGGCUCAGAUUGAACGCUGGCGGCAUGCUUUACACAUGCAAGUCGGACGGCAGCACAGAGAAGCUUGCUUCUUGGGUGGCGAGUGGCGAACGGGUGAGUAACAUAUCGGAACGUACCGAGUAGUGGGGGAUAACUGAUCGAAAGAUCAGCUAAUACCGCAUACGUCUUGAGAGGGAAAGCAGGGGACCUUCGGGCCUUGCGCUAUUCGAGCGGCCGAUAUCUGAUUAGCUGGUUGGUGGGGUAAAGGCUCACCAAGGCGACGAUCAGUAGCGGGUCUGAGAGGAUGAUCCGCCACACUGGGACUGAGACACGGCCCAGACUCCUACGGGAGGCAGCAGUGGGGAAUUUUGGACAAUGGGCGCAAGCCUGAUCCAGCCAUGCCGCGUGUCUGAAGAAGGCCUUCGGGUUGUAAAGGACUUUUGUCAGGGAAGAAAAGGCUGUUGCUAAUAUCAGCGGCUGAUGACGGUACCUGAAGAAUAAGCACCGGCUAACUACGUGCCAGCAGCCGCGGUAAUACGUAGGGUGCGAGCGUUAAUCGGAAUUACUGGGCGUAAAGCGGGCGCAGACGGUUACUUAAGCAGGAUGUGAAAUCCCCGGGCUCAACCCGGGAACUGCGUUCUGAACUGGGUGACUCGAGUGUGUCAGAGGGAGGUAGAAUUCCACGUGUAGCAGUGAAAUGCGUAGAGAUGUGGAGGAAUACCGAUGGCGAAGGCAGCCUCCUGGGAUAACACUGACGUUCAUGCCCGAAAGCGUGGGUAGCAAACAGGAUUAGAUACCCUGGUAGUCCACGCCCUAAACGAUGUCAAUUAGCUGUUGGGCAACUUGAUUGCUUGGUAGCGUAGCUAACGCGUGAAAUUGACCGCCUGGGGAGUACGGUCGCAAGAUUAAAACUCAAAGGAAUUGACGGGGACCCGCACAAGCGGUGGAUGAUGUGGAUUAAUUCGAUGCAACGCGAAGAACCUUACCUGGUCUUGACAUGUACGGAAUCCUCCAGAGACGGAGGAGUGCCUUCGGGAGCCGUAACACAGGUGCUGCAUGGCUGUCGUCAGCUCGUGUCGUGAGAUGUUGGGUUAAGUCCCGCAACGAGCGCAACCCUUGUCAUUAGUUGCCAUCAUUCAGUUGGGCACUCUAAUGAGACUGCCGGUGACAAGCCGGAGGAAGGUGGGGAUGACGUCAAGUCCUCAUGGCCCUUAUGACCAGGGCUUCACACGUCAUACAAUGGUCGGUACAGAGGGUAGCCAAGCCGCGAGGCGGAGCCAAUCUCACAAAACCGAUCGUAGUCCGGAUUGCACUCUGCAACUCGAGUGCAUGAAGUCGGAAUCGCUAGUAAUCGCAGGUCAGCAUACUGCGGUGAAUACGUUCCCGGGUCUUGUACACACCGCCCGUCACACCAUGGGAGUGGGGGAUACCAGAAGUAGGUAGGAUAACCGCAAGGGGUCCGCUUACCACGGUAUGCUUCAUGACUGGGGUGAAGUCGUAACAAGGUAGCCGUAGGGGAACCUGCGGCUGGAUCACCUCCUUU
RNAcentral lists this ribosomal RNA (1541 nucleotides) under Neisseria meningitidis. Its description in RNAcentral is "bacterial SSU rRNA". It matches the Rfam family "Bacterial small subunit ribosomal RNA". Lineage: Bacteria; Pseudomonadati; Pseudomonadota; Betaproteobacteria; Neisseriales; Neisseriaceae. The record is from RNAcentral.